UCUUCAAAAGCCUCAAGUCUCAUCUGCAUUAAAGCUCUCCAUUGAACCCUCUCACAAAAAUUGGAGCCAAAGAAACAGUGCCUGCCAAAAGAAUGUAUGUCCUGUGGCCAUAAGUUUUCAUCAGUAGAGAAGCAUAAACUUGGUGUGAUGAGUUUACAGUCAGGAGCAUAGAGCAGAACAUUUUACACAGCAGCAUCCAACGUGGUAAGAGUAAGUAUGUUUCAGUUAUAUGUGUGUGUGAGUGUGUGUGUGUGUUUGUAUUUGUGUCAUUAAAUAAAGUGCAUUUUUUUCCCCUAUCAGUUGCAGUCGCUGAUCCAGGUGUAUUAUUUUAGCACUAAUGCUUUCCUUCGCAUUUGGGUUCUUAGGAGACUUUCUUUUCACUUCAU
RNAcentral lists this long non-coding RNA (386 nucleotides) under Canis lupus dingo (dingo). RNAcentral's name for it is "lncRNA (ENSCAFG00020005398.1)". The record is from RNAcentral. Lineage: Eukaryota; Metazoa; Chordata; Mammalia; Carnivora; Canidae.